RNAcentral lists this long non-coding RNA (6367 nucleotides) under Sus scrofa (pig). RNAcentral describes it as "lncRNA (ENSSSCG00060050836.1)". Lineage: Eukaryota; Metazoa; Chordata; Mammalia; Artiodactyla; Suidae. The record is from RNAcentral.
GGGGCGCCGAGCGCGGCGCCGCGGGAAACCCAGCCUCCGGCGGCGCCCACGCUGCCCCUCCGCCGGGAACAAACGCCUUCCAAUCGAAAGACCGUCUCCCGGGUACCCCUAAAGGUGAGGCCGGCGGACCCACCUCACUCUCAGGUUUACAACAAACCAGUUUCGCGCAGCGCCUCCGGCGGGAUCUUUGGAGCGCGAGCGGGUGCCCGCGGCCCGGCCUCUGGCCUGCCGCCGGGAACCACCGAGCUGGGCGCCGCGGCCCGGGCCCCUGCAGUGUCACCUUUUAUUUAUUAUUUUUUACACAAUGCUCCAUUUAAAAAAACGAGUGGUUCCAGGGCAGGGACUGCUCCAGGAUUUCCUGACAGCUGAGAGAGGAGGAGGAGGAGUGAAGGGAGGUUGCCCAACGUUAUAGUGAAGAGCCGGAUGGGAGUGAUUGAGAAGCCGUAGGGGAGAGGGAACCCGGUGGGGAUGCGAAUGCACCUGCGGACUAGACCCCCCACAGGCUCCAGGCAGAAAGCUGAAGACUUGUUGCUUUUCCCUCCCUUCCCAUUUGCCUCUUUGGAGGUUUUUUGGCUGUUUUUUGAUUGGGGGGGGGGGGAUGAAGCCAAAAGCAAGAGCAAAGUCAAGAUGAAAUGAAUCCCGAGAGAAAAAGAGGAACCUGAGGAAAAUUAAAAGAGAUACUCGGUUUAAUUACUGUCGCGGUUUAAUCUUCUUCAAACUCCUUCACUGGUUUUUUUUACCCCCGUGAGGUUCCGAUAGGAUCUCGUUUGCUUUCUGUUACACCAAACACACUCUUUUUUUGUGUGAUAGUAUUUGCACCUGUAAAUAAAUAUGUGCGUUCCGAACUCCGAAGUGAGAAAUAAUGAACGAGCAGAUCCUAGGAAGAGUGUAAACCUGAGAAGCUGUAAACAGAUUGUUUUCUGCAGGAAAGAAUAAUGUGGAGAUAAAGGUUAAACAGAACAGAGAUAACUCUAUUGCAAAACAGAGACUAUUUCUUCAAAUAAUCACUCCAACUAAGAAACAAGGCCCUAGAGGCUUCCGUAACACCUGCAGCCUACUCUCUUCCAAAGGCCUCCUGGCAAGUGAUUUUCAUUAGCAAAAGGCCCUUGUCCCUAUUUAAAUGCAGAGAAAAUUACCAAGGGCUGUAAUGGCCUAGCCCGCUCCUUUCCUCUGCCCAGGUGUGUACUGCUACUGCCAGGAGGCCUAGAUCCUUUGACCGCCCAAACCAUCCGCUACUGUGUUACAGUGAAGUCCAUCUACAUCAUCCCGCUUAGCAAAUAGGGUGCUGGCACUUUGAAACACGUUAGGUCCGGUGUUUCGCCAGAGGAGUACUAAGAAGGAGCUGCGAUCCCCUUGUUCUCCACGUUGAGGCAGUGGGAUGGUGUUCCUGGCACACCUGUAAGCCACCGGGCACAGGCUUCUCCCCCUGGAAAGUUCUGCCACUUUGCCAGAGCAGACUGUUGAAGUAUGAUCCUUUUAUCUCUGUGUCCCACAUAAUUGCAAUAAAAGCAUGGAGAAAAAGCCAGAUGGAAGAAUUGUUUUAAAACAAGUAACCCACCAGUGGAUGAGAAGACACUACAACUUCAGUUAAUUCUAGCAACCAAAUAUAAGGUAUGGGAUUCAUCUACCAACGUUAUUUUUAUUUCUUAAAAAAAAAAUCCUAAAAUUUCAGUCAGUAAGAGUUAAUUUAAAAUGUUAUUGCUUUUAUUUGAGAAAAACCUAGGCAAAUAUUUCCAAUGACUUUUUUUUCAAGUUUUGGGUGUUUUGGUUUUGUGGCUCUUGUUCCUUUUCCUCAGUAUAAUAAUAUACAUUUGGGGAGUUCCCUUCGUGGCUCAGCGGUUAAUUAACCUGACUAGGAUCCAUAAGGAUGCGAGUUCUGUCCCUGCCCUUGCUCAGUGGGUUAAGGAUCGGGCGUUGCCCUGAGCUGCAGUUUAGGCUGCCCACUUGGCUUGGAUCCUGCGUCACUGCCAGCACCUGUAGCUCCUAUUUGACCCCUAUCCUGGGAGCUACCAUAUGCCACAGGUGCUGCCCUAAAAUAGCAAAUAUAUAUAAAUAUAUAUAUAUUUGAGGGGGAAAAUCCAAUAAAAAUGGAUAUUUUAAUCAGAUCACCAAAAUCCUUGAGCGAGCAUUUUAAUUCUUCUUCACAGAUAAUUUCUAAGAUAGUACUGUUUCUCUUCUAUAUUCCUAAGCCAAAAGUACUGUUGGUUAUUCAACUUUUUCUAAUAAUAGUUUAAAUAUAUAAGAAAUGAUCCCAUCAGGAAAUGAAUAUGAAAAAGAAAAGAAAUAUCCUUUAUCAUUAAAAUUUUCACAAGUGUAGUUUUUAGAGGUAGAUGGAAAAGCAAUAGUGGAGGACCAAAACGUGGAAUGGAAAAACUCUAGAUUUAAGGCAAGAAUAAUCAUUGUACAAUGCAAAUCAGUUGUACCACUCUCUUGCCUAAAUUCUGUCAAUGGCUUCCCACAAGCUACAGUGAAAAGGCCAAAGCUCUUAGCAUAGUCCUGUCAUUUUCACUGGGGAGCUAUUCUGCUGCCCUAGAAGGCAUUCGGGAAUUAGUAAUGUAUCAGCGUUUACUGCUAUCUAAUACAUUAUUUAUUCCCUAACUCAGCAGCUUAAAACAACAGAUGUUUUUUACCUCCCAUGAGCCUUUGUGGAUCAGGAAUCAGGAUGUUCUGGGUAGUUCUGGCUCUGAGGAAGUGGUCGCCAGUUGGACUCUUGGUCAGAACUCUGAUCAUCUCACUGGCAGGGCAGUCUGGUUCACGUGCAGUCACAGGAGGCUUCAUUUCCUGGGGCUGUUUAGAGGAUAUGGCAGCUGGCUUUUCCCUGAGCAAGAUGAGUGGGUGAGUGACGUGCGUGUGUGUGUGUGUGAAGCCAAGACAUACUCCAUAAUCUUUUACAACCUAAUCUCCUCUUGCAAGGACAACUUAUCACUUCCACCUCAUGCUCCUGAGCAUAGACAGUGGUGAGCGUAGGAAGAAUUUGGAUGAUCGGAGACCCUCCUGGAGACUGGCUAGCUGCCGAAAGUAAAAACACUUGUGGUUUGUCAUAAUGACUAGAGAUUCCCAUUAACACGGACAAAAACCAAGGAUAUUAAAAUCUUGUUCAAGAAGGAAUCCAUCAGGAAGCUGCCAGCAGUGCUGCCGAAUAGCUCUCCUGCGCUACGGUCUCUGUAGACACACUCCUGGCUCCAUUACACGUGGCUUCUUAAAGUUCCCUGUAAGAUCCUCCGCCUUCGACGUCCACAAAUCUUCCUUCUGACUUCAGUGCCUCUUCACCUUAGCAACCUUUCCAACUCCCUUUUUGGGAGUUAGUACAAAUUCCUUCAUCUGCUGGAUGCGUUCCCUGUUACGUUAAGCCAAUGAGCCCUUGCUUUUCUCAGCCCUAUUUUCAUUCUUGUGAUGGCACUCAUGACACUGCUGUUAUUACCUCUAACAGCCCUUCUCCCCCAGGAGACUGUGAGCCCCUGCAGGAAUACGUUUUAUAAUCUAAAUCUCAGGGUCCCCAAACCUUACACAGCUCCCGCACAUAGGAAACACUUCUUAAUACAAGUUAGUUGAAUGACUGAGCAAAUGCAUGGUGUGUUGUCUGUGUUUGCGUACAUGUGUGCGCAAGGAUGGUGCCAGUUAAGAGAGAACUGCAGAAUGCAAAAGCUUGAGAACCACUGAUCUGCUCUGUUCCCACCCAGACUCUGUGCCACCUGUUUCCUACUAAAGUGUAAAUUCGCCUUCACAUCGCACAAACUGCUUUUUAAAUUAACAUUUUAUAUCUUCCCCAAAAGGAUAAUUGAAAGUUAUAUUUGUAGAGAGCAUGUCUAUAGGUUGUAGAGGGCACUACCUGAUUAUUACUUGUAUUUUUCAGAAAAUACCCAUGUUAAAGUGUUUUAAGAUCCUACAUCUAAAUCAAGAAAGAAUAAUCCUGCUUCAGUGCCUUGAAUGAUGUUCAACUGUUGAGCUCAAAGAGUUAACACAAAUUCCAAAAGUGCUGUGUUACAGCCAGUGGCAUUUAGUAAGUUGAAUCUGUAGUAAUAGGAUAAAAAGUUACUAUCUAAAAGAGUUAUUACAGGCACCAAAUGGGCUAAAUUAUGGAGAGGAGUAAUCUGAGCAAUGAAGAUUGAAGCUUACAUCUGUAAGAGCUGAUGCAAUUUCCAAAGGCAUUAACCUAAGGAGCAGUUUAUUAAUUGAGCACCUAGGCUAUUGAGGAAUAAUGUAGUGGCCUCCUAGGGAUUGGAGUUUUGCUGCUGCUGUUAAAUUCCAAAAUUGUCCAUUUUUGUCAGUUUCUAUUUAUGAAAGAUUCAGCCUGCCCAUCAUGAUUGUGCCCUGCCUAACUGAAAGCUGAACCUUUCAGUUGCUGAGUGACUUCCUGGAUCUGCACCUGCUCCAGAACUCCUCUGAUACUGCCUAGGGAUAGGAGUAGUUCAAUAUACGCUCAUUUAUUCAAGUAGCCUGUUUAGCAAAAAGCUAUGGAAUAUCAGCUAUAUGCCAGGCAUAUAUGGAUACGGAGGCCAAGAAGACAGACAUUUUUUGCUAGACUGUGUGGUGUUUACAUUCUGGUGGGCAGGUGUGAAAAAUAAUAACCAACACACCAUAAUGCAACAAAUAUUAUUUGAGAUAAGGAUGUGGGAUAUGAUAAAAUAUAUAUAUAUAUACAAAGUAGAGGGCCAGGGAGUGAAUUGCCUUAGGAGUGUUAUUUAAAUGAAGACCUGACCUACAGGAGGGAAUUGCCAGUGUAAAUAUUUAGGGAAGACAACUUUAGAUGGAGGGACAGAAGGAAUGUCCCUGCAAGGCCUCUGUGACUAGAACAAGCUUGGCAUACGUGGGAGUUAGAAAGUUAGCAUAUGAUGUGGGAACCUGUUAAAAGGUUGAGAGAUGCUGUAUAAAAGAUCAAAGGACCUUAUAGGCCAUAGAAAGGAAUUUAGAUGUGGACUCUCAAUGCAGUUGAGAGCUAUUGCAUGGAUUUCAGAAUUCGAAAGUGUCUCUGAUGUUUUGGGGUUUUGAGCCUUCUCUUCUGGUCCUUACCAGGACCAUUAGCCCCUGAAUCGGACAUUGACAACAAACGACCUUCACAGAGGUGGCUUAGAGUUUGCUAAUGGCAGAUGGGCUUUUAUCUAUGAUGUUUGUAUUUUACUGAACUUCAGUGUUGACUCUCACCUUGACUCACGUUCAGGAAGCCCUCUCUCCUAGACUCUAUAUUCCAAUUUUACCUCUUGCAUCAACAGACACUUAAUUCUUCAGUCAUUCCCAUUCUUGGCUAAUUCCCUUGUCAGAUCUAUAUCAGAGAGCUAUGAAGAAAUUUCACCCCUCUCCCCUCCCCCCAAAAAAACAAAAAACCCAAAUUUCCACAUCUCAAACCCCAUUCCGGACUUUAUAUGACACAAGAAAAGUUGAGUGAAUUAGUAAUUAGUACACCCCCCUAAAAGAAUAUAUAAUUUUAACAUUGCCGAAUAAUCCCAAAUACCUGUAUCAAUUCACUGUCAUAACUGAUAACCAUUUCCCAAACUGCAGUAUGCUCAAUGCUUAUUCUAGACCCAAGAUAUCCAGUCUGUUUAGCAAAAGUCUUAUCCUAUGAACGUUAGAAAAAUGAUCAAUCAUUUUACAUGCAUCCCUUACUCCUUUUCUCACAAAACAUCCUCCUCACACUAUCAAGACCGUGUUUUUUCCGUGUAAGUUCUCUGUGACGGGAAAACAUUAGAAACAAGUAAGAGUCCCCUUGUACAAACAAGUGCAGAAGAGGCAGAAGCUCAAUUAAGUAGAUGCCUCCUUUAUAAUUUAUCAUUUGUUUUCCUGGGAUCAGAUGCUUUAGCAAGUGAACUAAGUCUUUGCUUUUGUCUUUGAGCAGCCCUGUUUUGACUGACACUUAGACUACAAUCAAUCUUUGAAUUAAAAUUUUAGCUUAAAAAACAUGCAGCCUUAAAUUUACAGAACAUUGCAAAUCAACUAUAAUUUUAAAAAAUUAAAAAUAAAUAAAUAAAAAACACACAGCCUUAGACGAGAGCAUUCAUUUUCAGGGUUAGAUAACCAAUAAUAGGAAAGUGGCAGACCUCUGUCCAGAUACUUCUUUGUUCCUUGCCACCUGUGCAAGGAACACCCAUCGAUUGUGACAAAACCGCAUGUAGGAGUACUUAGGAGACUCUCUACAGAGUUCCCACUGUGGCUCAGUGGGGUCAAGGAUGCAAUGUAUUCUCCAUGAGGAUGCGGUUCGAUCCCUAGCCUCCCUCAGUGGGUUAAGAAUCCCACAUUGCAUCAGUCUCAGAUGCAGCUCAGAUCUGGUGUUGCCAUGGCUGUGGCAUAGGCCAGCAGCUGCAGGUCUGAUUCAACCCUUAGCCCAAGAACAUCCAUAUGCCACAGGUGCGGCCGUGAAAAGGAAAAAAAAAAA